Molecule: transfer RNA, 77 nt
Filed under: Pelagibacteraceae bacterium TMED216
Lineage: Bacteria; Pseudomonadati; Pseudomonadota; Alphaproteobacteria; Candidatus Pelagibacterales; Candidatus Pelagibacteraceae
Description: tRNA-Arg
Rfam family: tRNA
About the family: Transfer RNA (tRNA) molecules are approximately 80 nucleotides in length. Their secondary structure includes four short double-helical elements and three loops (D, anti-codon, and T loops).
Source: RNAcentral
GCGCUUGUAGCUCAACUGGAUAGAGCGUCUGACUUCGGAUCAGAAGGUUGAGGGUUCAAAUCCUUCCAAGCGCACCA